ACAGUUCUCUAUAGUGGAGUGUCUAAUGGCGUCAACCCAAAGGUUAUUGAGCGGAAUUUCACUCCAUUUAGUGCCAUGUUACUCGCAUCAGUAGUUUUAGAGUAAAUUAGGAAGAGAUACUGACAUUUCUACUACCAAGCUUCUGAAGUGGAGCAAUCAAGAUGAUGAAAAGGAGAGAACCCAAAAUGGAGCCCUGAGGAACACCUGACACGGUGCCCAAAUCCAUGAAUUUAGAAAAAUGGAAGAGGGGAGCAAAAUGGUAUCUCGUAUUGAAUACAGCAAGACCGGGGCUGUUUGAAGAAAGCUCUCAUAUUGAUGGUUCUGAGAGCGAGAGAGUCAAGUGAGAACUCAACCUUUUUGGACAAUGACCAUUCUAUUGGUAUAGGUCAGAAACACAAUUCUUGUUGUCAAGGACCUUAUAACUGGAAAUUGUUGUUGAACAGAUAUCCCUCCUGAAAAUUAUCGGCCUGCUUCGUACGUCUGCUCAUCAUUCAGCCAAAUACCAUCUUCAUUUGAUGAUGAAGAUUCACGUAAUAUGUUACAACCUCAACUGUACAACUCUGCGAAUUGUAAAAGUUACCUCACUCCUGGAGUGCCCAACCUCAAUCAAAGUUUCAGUGUAGUUUACUUUCGCGUAUAUUGGCAAAUUUAAACAAACAUAAGUUUCUCUUUUAUUGCAUACGUAAGUAUUACUGCUGCUGAUUCAAUAAAUGAUAAAUUCUUUGCGUGUGACGGCUUUCUGUUGUACCAAUUUCUUUAUUAUCUCAGAUUUUACAUACAGAGUUUUUCCACUUGUAGAUGCCAAGAACAGAGUUCAACACUUAUGAUAACUAACUCGAAUUGAUGUCUUUCCAUCCUGAAAAUGUUGAAAUGUUGAGCUAUCCAAC
This is a long non-coding RNA of Tigriopus californicus, 887 nucleotides long. RefSeq lists it as uncharacterized. The record is from RefSeq and is a predicted model, not a curated record. Lineage: Eukaryota; Metazoa; Arthropoda; Copepoda; Harpacticoida; Harpacticidae. The transcript has 3 exons.